Alosa alosa (allis shad) is the source of this 715-nucleotide long non-coding RNA. RefSeq lists it as uncharacterized. The record is from RefSeq and is a predicted model, not a curated record. The transcript is spliced from 4 exons. NCBI's taxonomy places the organism in Eukaryota, Metazoa, Chordata, Actinopteri, Clupeiformes, Clupeidae.
UAGACAAAGGCCUCUGCCAAAUCCCAUAACCAUAACCAUAACUUAAAGACGAACCCUUUUGUGUUUUAGUAGGCUUCGAAACACAACGGUGGUGUCAGGAAAAUGAAACUGAAACUUGUGAUGCAGUAGAGUAGACCUAUGUUAAAUUACAUUUUCACAUUAAUUUAUGUCUGAUAGGAAACUGAAGAGGCGGAGUGGAGUGAUCAUCAGUUAUUUCAAUUAUUUUCGCAAGUAUCAAAAUUCUCAGAUCAUUCCUAAGUAUCUUCACAAAGGCACAUAUGUGGGCACGCAGGAGAGCCCUAGCAAAUAUAUAGAAAGAGGGGUGGAUCCAGUCAUCAACAACCCCAACAUGCCCCGUUGGCACAUGUAUCCAUACGUCCGAAUGGCUUUUGAACGUGGCUACUGAAUUAAUUUCAUUGAAACAAAAGACACCUGGAAUAUUCCUCUUGAGGAAUUUGAAAGGAUUGGUGGCGGUACAAUUCCACUACCAAUACUGGAAGACAUGAAGAACUAAUAUGAGCCAGUACGAAAUGUCUACGACGUCCUGAAUGAUGAAUAUUCUCAAUAUAGAUGGAUUGUUAGUAAGGAAAUGACAUCUAAUUUCUAUAGGCAUUUCUAUAUUCCACUUCCUUCAUGGCGUGAAUUAUGUCAUGAAAAGGAAUGAUCAGAUAUCAUGCAUCAUUCAUAUAAAAAUAAAUUGUGACAUUUUUGUUUA